RNAcentral lists this long non-coding RNA (419 nucleotides) under Rattus norvegicus (Norway rat). RNAcentral describes it as "long non-coding RNA NONRATT021767". The record is from RNAcentral. Lineage: Eukaryota; Metazoa; Chordata; Mammalia; Rodentia; Muridae.
CGGAAUGUGGAAAAGCCUUCUGCCAGAAGCCACACCUUACCAACCAUCAGCGGACACAUACGGGAGAGAAACCCUAUGAGUGCAAGCAGUGCGGGAAAACGUUCUGUGUCAAGUCAAACCUUACUGAACAUCAAAGAACACACACUGGGGAGAAACCCUAUGAAUGCAAUGCAUGUAGGAAAUCCUUUUGCCACCGGUCAGCCCUAACCGUCCAUCAGAGAACACAUACAGGAGAGAAACCAUUUAUAUGCAAUGAGUGUGGGAAGUCAUUUUGUGUGAAGUCAAACCUGAUUGUACAUCAGAGAACUCACACGGGGGAGAAACCCUAUAAGUGCAAUGAGUGUGAGAAAACCUUCUGUGAAAAGUCAGCUCUUACUAAACACCAGAGAACUCACACUGGGGAGAAACCCUACGAGUGU